GUGUCAGCCGCCGCGGUAAUACGUAGGGGGCAAGCGUUGUCCGGAUUUAUUGGGCGUAAAGAGCGUGUAGGCGGCCAGGCAGGUCGGUUGUGAAAACUGGAGGCUUAACCUCCAGACGUCGACCGAAACCUCUUGGCUAGAGUCCGGAAGAGGAGAGCGGAAUUCCUGGUGUAGCGGUGAAAUGCGCAGAUAUCAGGAAGAACACCCGUGGCGAAGGCGGCUCUCUGGGACGGUACUGACGCUGAGACGCGAAAGCGUGGGGAGCGAACAGGAUUAGAAACCCGCGUAGUCC
Molecule: ribosomal RNA, 292 nt
Filed under: uncultured bacterium
Lineage: Bacteria
Description: partial 16S ribosomal RNA
Rfam family: Bacterial small subunit ribosomal RNA
Source: RNAcentral